Passer domesticus (house sparrow) is the source of this 3724-nucleotide long non-coding RNA. RefSeq lists it as uncharacterized. The record is from RefSeq and is a predicted model, not a curated record. NCBI's taxonomy places the organism in Eukaryota, Metazoa, Chordata, Aves, Passeriformes, Passeridae. The transcript is spliced from 4 exons.
GGUAAAAAAGUCUAGUGCUCUUGAGGAACAAGAAACCUCCAAACCCAACAAGAAACCCCAAAGAAACCCACCAAAAAGCAAGGUUACUGAGUCUCUGCUGAAGGAGGAGAGCCUGUCCCCAGGUGGAGAAGAAGCAGGGAGGAGGUGAAUUGGAUUUGUACAUCAUCAGCAAACCUCACACCUGGCAAUGUACGGGGCAAGUUAACAAAGGGCCUCUCUGCAGCUCCGUGCUCCUACAGCCAAUGGACCAGAAAUCUUUUCCAAGUGCUUGGCUUCCUUGGGGCCCCGGUGGUGACAGAGCCUGGCUGCUGAUGAACCCGUGUGGUGACAAGGGAUGCGUGUCCCCUGCAACAUGAAUCACGUAUCCUUUCAGUGUUGUGACAAACAAAGCAAGGAGAGAAAUGCCUUGCAAAAUGCAGUUUGGCUGUGGGAGGAAAUGCCCACCCCAGGCAAUAAGAAAUAUUUCAGUGUAUUAAGAUUAUUCCCUGUUUUUCCCAGAGGUGCAUGUGGGAGUGGAGGGGAUUAAAGCUACAAUAAUCUUCUUUGAGUUUUACAUUUGUAUGACGUUAGAUUGGUCAGCUAAUAAUUUUAGCCUGUUAUUAUUAUUAUUUUUGCAAACACCUAGGAAAAGAUUCUGAGGUUUUCUCGUGGCCUUUCCAAAAUGACCUGCAUGUAUGUGAAACAAGCAGUAACACCAAACAAUUAAUUUAGUGUGAAGUAGCACUUAAACAUUGCAGGCAGUGGUUGUGGAAAUGAACAUUUUUGGGGAUCCCCACUUUUUUUGUGUGGGCAAAGGUUUUUCUCCCUGCAAAAUGCAAGUUAACAAUUCACUGUUCUGGUGAGUCCAAGUCCCACGUGCAAAUUCUUUCACUGCUUUGAUUGCUGAAUGUCUGCAACAUGGAGUGUGCAGAACUUGUAGAGGUCCAUCUGGUAAGGGAAAUAAUCCUGUGUCAGUGCAAAAUAUGUUUCUCUGUGUGUGUAUUUCUCUGUGCUCCUUCUUUGUCAUGAUUCCUCGGUUUAAUUUAAAUACAUGUUUCACUUCUCUCCAUAUUUCAGGUUUAUUGCAGAGUAUGAAAAUCAGGAAGCUUUUUGUUCACUUCAUACAUCUCUUCCAACAAAGCCAGACAUCCGAACCCGGCACAGACUCCAGAGUGAUUAUUGUUACACAUGAUCUAUGGAGCAGAUAAAUUACAGCUUGAUUUUUAUAAGGAAAUUUGAAAAACAGCACACUCUGAACCAGGGCAGAGUGUGGAUUUUCCCAUUUUGCUGCAGGACCCCACUUUGCUGAAUUCCUGGAGGAAGAGAUGCAAAACCCAGCUGGAUGUGAGGGAUCCAUCAGCACGAGCUCCUGAGAUGGGGAGCCCAUUUAAAUCUCCUUUGCUGAGCCUCAGAUGUGACCCAAGCAAAGCAAAAUGGAAAGCAAGGCAGAAAGGCUUUUUGCACAAAAUGGAACAGUAGUCAUGAAUAAUUAAUGGAUUUCUACCUUCUUUGCCAUUUUAACUUGUCUUAAUACUUAUUGCCUUCCACUGCAGAAGUGUGUUUGUAGAUUAACUCAUGCAUGUUUUGCAGCAGCAAGUCUAGAAUUAAGGUGUGUGCUGGAGAUGGAACCUCCCACCAGACCCAGCCUGAUUCAGCAGUCUCCAGGAAAUGCUCUUGCAGAGAUCCAAGCUCUGGGAGCCUCUCAGCAAGGCCAAGAGCUCUUUUUCCCAUUAUCUUCUAAACAUUUCUGCCAGUCCUGUCUAAAUGCAGAAGUUAAUAAUCACAGAAAGGGCUUAAGAUCUGAAUGCAAGGACAUAAAUACAUGUCAUGAGAAGGACACACCUUUGGUUUGUUCCAGCACCACAGGUUCACAGAUUACCAUACAUUUAUUCAUUUUGAGAUGCAAACACUACAGCCAUAAAAUAGUGAGAAUAUGUAGUCCUGGCUUAUCCUGUUGACUGCCCUGUGCUAUCAGUGCAGUCAUACCCUCAGUCAAGUGUGUUUCAUCAGCCAAUCUAAGGGAGGCUCUGUAAAACCCAAGUUUUUUCGCUCAGACUUUCCCUUUGAUGCCCAGCUGCCAGGUCCCAUGUGGGCACUCACCUCAGACACAGUUUAACUCCCAGAAAACCUGCAGGAGCAGCAAAACCAGCUCAAAAUGCAUCCUAUGUAAUAAGCAGGGUUGUUUUUUGGUUGGUUUUUUGCUUUUUUUUUUUAGUGUAUGGUGGAAGAUUAAAGCCAUUCUAAAUGAAAGAAGAGUGUGUAACAGGGUACAAGAUUUCUAAAUAGGUGGCACAUGUCAGCAGGCAUUACAAGAGUGUCUUUAGGUGAGCCUUUGAUAUCGACUGCUGAAUAGUUCAGUCAGAGAGAUGCAACCAAGCAAGAGUUUCACUGCCUUGAUUUGUUUUCCAGCUAAAAUAAAUCUGAAUAGAAUAGACUUAAAUUACCUGUGAUUUUUCUGUCUUUAAAAGGACACAUAAAAGCUCACGAGAUCACUGCGCUCCCUGGGGAAUAAAAAAAAAGGGAAUGGGAAAAAGAAACCAGGAAAACCAUGAAAGAUUCAUUUUAAUGGAAUCCAGGUUUGGCUGUUUCAUAUUUAAUAAUGUUUAAUAUUUCAUUUACUACUGGGGACUCACCUUUUUCAGAAGAAUGUAAGAUUCAAGGCACUAUUGUGCAUUAAGAUUUUAUGUCUGACUGUAGCAAUAUUAUAAGGGUUGGCAUUGGAGCUGCUCAAGCCUUAUGUAGAAAGCCUGGAAGCAACAAGGUUUCUUUCUUUUUUCCUACAGCCAAAAUAGGAUCUGAAGCCCCAGAAAGUGGUGGGGUAGAGCUGUGAAUCCUAGCAACAGGCGGGGAAAGAACUGUACGUUUCCUCACGUCCUCCAAGUGUUGGUGCCUUCUGGUGCAUCAUUGACAGGAAGAGACAGAGACCAUGGAAAGGCCCUCCUUGCUGAUGCACCAAGAAAGGGCACAUUUUUUUCCAGUAGGAUGGGUGAGUUAUUGCAGUUUGGGGGGGUAAACAAGCCAAGCAACCCCCCACAGUUCAUGCUGUUGUUGCUGUUGCACUUUCCUUCGUCUGCCUUUUGGUGCAGGGUUGGUUUUUUUUUUCAAUUUUUCUGUGCUCUUAGUCUUUUUUUAAGCCCUUCUCAGUGAUAAUGUGGGCUUUUCUUUUUAAGUGAAUUAUGAAAAUUUGCACUCAAAAGUGUGAGCAUAGGGUUCUGCCAGAAAAAUCCAUCAUUCUGUGGCCUGCAAUGAAAUCAUGGGUGAUAAAAGCUACCACCCAUGUUCAGCAGAAAGGGAACUGAAACCAGAGCACUUUUCCUGGAAGAAGAGGCUCCUGUUAAAUAUGCAGCAGUCUUGUCUUGCCAAUAUUAAACUAGCUUUUCUUCCUAAAGAGCCUGUCAAUACAGUUUGACCUCUCUCUGUGGAUGUUCUUCAGAGCCUGAAGCACUCAGAUAAUCUGAAACAGUUCCCCAGUUUCUUUCUUUCUCCUGGGAAGGUGGGUUUCAGUCAAAGAAAAAGUCACAGAACCUGACACAAAGAGCAAGGUGGGAUUCCAGACUCCUUGGUCCCAUCACUGUGUUCAGAAAUGCACCAUUUCCCAGCUGAUGCCAGUUUUUCUGGGUUUGCCACCAGUUUUGCUCUUGGAAGAAGCUUGCAGACUCUUAUGAACUUUGCCUGGAUGGAAACGGUGGGAAGAGGGGCGUGGAGAAGAGCUGGGGUUGUGUAACAUGGCCUGCUGCUUCUGUUA